Molecule: long non-coding RNA, 1248 nt
Filed under: Marmota monax (woodchuck)
Lineage: Eukaryota; Metazoa; Chordata; Mammalia; Rodentia; Sciuridae
Source: RNAcentral
CAGACCUAACAGAAAUAAUACAUUUUUUUAAAAAAAAUCACUAAGACAACUGCUACCAAUGUAUUCAGAACAACUAAGGUCAGAAAGAACAUGUGAAAUGUGAAAAUUUUCUCUACAGGUGAAAUAAAUGUGUUUUAAGGAGAGAGAAGGGAUUAGAGAACACGCAAAUUGUAAUUCUGGAAAACUACAAACUUUUGAAAAGUACUAAACAUGGAAUUAGUAAUUUAUCAAAAAUUGCACCCACCCCUGAUUUUCUUUUGAGGGAAAAAUAAAAACAAUUUUUGAAGGGAAUGAAAAAGAUUUCAAACUGAAACUCAUUCUAACAAUAUUGUGUUUUUACUGAAAAAUACUAUUAGAGAUAAAAUUAAGUUAAAUUUCAGAUACUUUCCAUUUAUUUAUUUAUUUAUUUAGCUUUAGGCAGAAACGAUAUCUUUAUUUUAUUUUUUAUGUGGUGCUGAGGAGCAAACCCAGUGCCUCACGCAUGCCAGAUGAGUGUGCUACCACUUGAGCCAUAUCCCCAGCCAAGGUACUUUCCAUUUAAUGUGGGCAAAAUUACAAUGUUUAUAUAGCAAAUAUAAACUAGUAGUUUAUAUUCAUCUAUAAUAUAACUUUUUAGGAAAUGUUUACUGUCCUCAGUGCUCAAAAAUAAAUAGAAAUUUCAAUUUUUUAACUAGCUAAUUUUCAAUAUCUAGGAAUUAUUAUGGUAAUGUUAAAUAAAAGUUUAAUUCUGCUGAACUAAAUCUCAAAUAGAUUCAGAUUUUUUAAGCAUAUGAAAAUACCCAAUUUUUAAAAGUUUUAAAUUUUUAUAAUUUUUAUCAAUGUAAAACCAGUCAAAUAAUCACAAGAGAUACUUUGUAUCAGAAAAAAAAUCCCAUGAUGCACAAAUGAUACUCAAAGAUUAUGAUCAAGAAAGCAAUAAUUAUACUAAAGCAGAAAGAAUUUCUUUUGUUACCUCCAUUCCUUAUAUAUAGUUUUAUUGCAAGUCAUCUACAUAGAAAUAUUUAUCACAAUCUGAUAGGUAGAAAAGGUUUUUUAUUUUUUGCCUUCUAGAGCCCAAGCAAAUUUACUCAGUGUUCUUAGUAUGUUUCCUUUUAACAUUAUCUGAACCAUUGGUCAUAGGUUUGGGGACUGAUGAACCAGUACCAUUGGAAGAUGAUUUUGCUCCACAUUUCUUACCCUACAAUGAAAACUGUUGCUGCCAGCCAAAGAGCAGCUGACUCAAUAUAUGCUCAAAAGGAGCAAGAGUCA